AUAAAAUAACCUCCAUGAAAAAAAGAUUAAUAAUCUUUAUCAGAGAAAUACACUUCCAAGAAUUAAUAAAUUAAUUUUUAAUGAUCCGAUAUUCGAUCAACGAACCAAGUUACCCUGGGGAUAACAGCGCAAUCCACCUCAAGAGCUCCUAUCGACAGGUGGGUUUACGACCUCGAUGUUGGAUCAGGGUAUCCCAGUGGUGCAGCAGCUACUAAUGGUUCGUUUGUUCAACGAUUUAAACCCUACGUGAUCUGA
This 255-nucleotide ribosomal RNA is filed under the name Boophis ankaratra. RNAcentral's name for it is "partial 16S ribosomal RNA". It matches the Rfam family "Bacterial large subunit ribosomal RNA", at positions 2331 to 2608 of the family's 2925-position model. The record is from RNAcentral. Lineage: Eukaryota; Metazoa; Chordata; Amphibia; Anura; Mantellidae.